Molecule: microRNA, 21 nt
Filed under: Corchorus capsularis
Lineage: Eukaryota; Viridiplantae; Streptophyta; Magnoliopsida; Malvales; Malvaceae
Description: sRNA CCACVL1_29961
Source: RNAcentral
CUUCAUCCAAAAGACUCCAAA